This 253-nucleotide ribosomal RNA is filed under the name uncultured bacterium. RNAcentral's name for it is "partial 16S ribosomal RNA". It matches the Rfam family "Bacterial small subunit ribosomal RNA", at positions 524 to 776 of the family's 1533-position model. The record is from RNAcentral.
UACGGGGGGGGCAAGCGUUGUUCGGAAUUACUGGGCGUAAAGGGCUCGUAGGCGGCCAUCUAAGUCAGACGUGAAAUCCCCCGGCUUAACCUGGGAACUGCGUCUGAUACUGGAAGGCUUGAGUAUGGGAGAGGGAUGUAGAAUUCCACGUGUAGCAGUGAAAUGCGUAGAUAUGUGGAGGAACACCGAUGGCGAAGGCAGCCCCCUGGGUUAACACUGACGCUCAUGCACGAAAGCGUGGGGAGCAAACAGG